GCAUUUUUUGUCGAGGCGUUCAAUGGUUCCAAUAAAGUUAUUGGUAUUGACAGAAAAUAUUUAGGUCGUCAUAUGACUCAAAAUUGGCUUUUAUCUACAAUUUAAUGAACACUUAUAUAUUUCUCCUGCACACCAUUGGAAGGUUUCUUUUAAGAGUUUCGUUGAUGUUGACGUAAAUGUAAAAGUUAAUUCCAUAAUUAGAAAAUUGAAACAAAUACAGUAUUGCUUUGAUUAGCCCACGUUGUGCUGAUAUUAAUGUCGUUGUUGACGUGGUAAACGAAUCAACUGCAUUGAAAAUUG
Molecule: long non-coding RNA, 300 nt
Filed under: Mytilus galloprovincialis (Mediterranean mussel)
Lineage: Eukaryota; Metazoa; Mollusca; Bivalvia; Mytilida; Mytilidae
Source: RNAcentral